This 497-nucleotide ribosomal RNA is filed under the name uncultured bacterium. Its description in RNAcentral is "partial 16S ribosomal RNA". It matches the Rfam family "Bacterial small subunit ribosomal RNA", at positions 28 to 507 of the family's 1533-position model. The record is from RNAcentral.
GAUGAACGCUGGCGGCGUGCCUAAUACAUGCAAGUCGAGCGAACAGACGAGGAGCUUGCUCCUCUGACGUUAGCGGCGGACGUGUGAGUAACACGUGGAUAACCUACCUAUAAGACUGGGAUAACUUCGGGAAACCGGAGCUAAUACCGGAUAAUCUAUUGAACCGCAUGGUUCAAUAGUGAAAGACGGUUUUGCUGUCACUUAUAGAUGGAUCCGCGCCGCAUUAGCUAGUUGGUAAGGUAACGGCUUACCAAGGCAACGAUGCGUAGCCGACCUGAGAGGGUGAUCGGCCACACUGGAACUGAGACACGGUCCAGACUCCUACGGGAGGCAGCAGUAGGGAAUCUUCCGCAAUGGGCGAAAGCCUGACGGAGCAACGCCGCGUGAGUGAUGAAGGUCUUCGGAUCGUAAAACUCUGUUAUUAGGGAAGAACAAAUGUGUAAGUAACUAUGCACGUCUUGACGGUACCUAAUCAGAAAGCCACGGCUAACUACGUG